CAGGCCAACUCAGCAAUGAAAGGGUCCGGUUCUGAGCUUUAGAAGGAAAUGGAGUGACGUAAUAAUGAUCAUCUGAUGCUCUUCAGCCUGGAGAUUUAAUGUCAGAGGCUCCUGGAGUGAGAUUUAACCAGCGGGGCCCCGCGCUCUGGCCUGCCUCAUUUGUUCCACAUGACAUUUCCUCAGUGCAAGGGGCUGCUCCAGAGCUAGUCCUCUGCAGCUCACGGCUGCCUUGGAUCUGGUUUGUGCCUGCGAGGGAGAUCGUCCUGCUCCCGAGCGAAUGACACAGGGGUCUGCAAGGCCAGCUCAGAACGGAGAGAUGCUCAGCAAAGGCCUGCAGGCUUCCAUGGAGGGACUCCGAGGUCACACCUAGCCGCUGGGCUCUGCUCUCUGCAAAACCAAGCCAGGUGCUGCCAGGCCUGGGCAGGAUCAGAACCACCUUCAGCAGCUCCACAACCAGGCUCUGAGUGGGGUGUUGCCUCUGCAGCUCUGCCGUCCCUCUCUCGUGUCCCAUGGGCAGUGCAGUGACCAUCUUCUCCAUCCUUUGUGGGGCCUUUGCCAUGGCCAGCACCAUCACCUCGCUCUGCACAGACUGUUGGCAGAUUAACAGCAAAGGCUCAGUUGUUCUGAGCACCCGGUGCCGUGGCCUCUGGAGAGAAUGUGUCUGGGACAAGUUUGUGAAGAUCUGGACCUGUGAUGUUUUCAGCUCCUACCUGAAUCCACAUCCAGGUAACAAAGAGCGAGGUGCAGUGGGGAGCUGCAGUUUUCCCCUGAGGCUGAUGUAUCAGAACACAACCAAUGCUGCAAUCAUUCUCACACGGACGCUGCUGAUCACUUCCAGCAUUGCUAGUGCUGGUGCAUUUCUCUGCCUGCUGUUGGGAUUUAAAUAUUUCAGCUGCUGUCAGGAACCUCUGGCUAAACAACAGUGGCUCUGCCUGGCUGCCGGACUCUUCUUCCUCGUAGGUGUCUCUAAAAAUCCCAGGAUUCCCAAGCUUUGAAUACGGCUACUCCCUAUGGAUGGCUGUGGGGGGCAGCCUAGGGGCUAUUGCUGCAGCUGGUGUAUCCUGUUAUGAAGUCCUGUUUAAAAAAGAUCCCAGGGCAAAUGCAAAUGCAGUGAAGGAAGUAUCUGGGAGUGGGUGCACUGCUGGCAUGGACAUUGUGCGUACCUAUGUGUGAGCGAGAAGAGAUCUCCUGAGCCGGAGGACAUCAGCAGUGUCACCGAAAGUCACAGCUUGGUGACGUUUGACACAGCUCUGUGUGUGGAAAGGCUGGGAGAUCUGCUUUGUGAGCGUUUCUCAGAUACUGGUUCCUAAGGAUUAGGCUCAAGUAAGGGAUACAUUUGACAGGUUUCCCUGCUAGAUUUCUAGAAAUGUUUUUGGUAUCUACAGUUAGAUGGAACAGGCCGUGCAACUUCUCCCCAGAUCUCCUGGCCCGUGUUAUUCGCAUAUUGCUUUGGCCUGCUUUGCAUGCAGUAAAUAAGACGCCAAACUAAAGUUUGAGUCCAGGCAGGUAAAAGCGACUUGCUAAUUCGGUGCUCUGGGCUGUCAUAUGGGCCAAUAGAGACAAUGUGAUGUGAACACUUCGUCCAUAGUGCCCAAUAUGUAAUCACAUUCCCUUUGUUUUAGCCUUUGAACACCCCAUUUUCUGUACUGCUUUUGGAGGUUUUCCCCUACUUGGCAUUGGAGGCCUCAGCUGGAGGCAGUUCUGGGCAGCACACUUAAAGAAAGAUGGCGAGAGUACCCUGCAGAACCCCCAAAAACGAUGCAAAGUUUAGAAAACCUGACCCACAAGGAAAGGUUCAAAAAAUUGGGCACAGUCAAUCUUGAGAAAAGACGGGGGGCACCCAUGGGUGGCGGGUAUAAUAGGCUUUGCCUUCC
Molecule: long non-coding RNA, 1874 nt
Organism: Chrysemys picta bellii (western painted turtle)
Lineage: Eukaryota; Metazoa; Chordata; Testudines; Emydidae
Source: Ensembl